RNAcentral lists this transfer RNA (77 nucleotides) under Candidatus Borrelia tachyglossi. Its description in RNAcentral is "tRNA-Met". It matches the Rfam family "tRNA". Rfam says of the family: Transfer RNA (tRNA) molecules are approximately 80 nucleotides in length. The record is from RNAcentral. Lineage: Bacteria; Pseudomonadati; Spirochaetota; Spirochaetia; Spirochaetales; Borreliaceae.
GCUGAUGUAGCUCAGUCGGUUAGAGCACUCGGCUCAUAUCCGAGUUGUCGUGGGUUCAAGUCCCUCCAUCAGCAUCA